AGAGUUUGAUCCUGGCUCAGGAUGAACGCUGGCGGCAUGCCUAAUACAUGCAAGUCGAACGAGAGACCUUCGGGUCUCUAGUGGCGAACGGGUGAGUAACACGUAGGGAACCUGCCCGUGCACCGGGAAUACGCUCUGGAAACGGAGAACAAAUCCCGAUGUACAGGAAGGAGGCAUCUUCUUUCUGUGAAACAUCCUUUAGGGGAUGGGGCGCGGAUGGACCUGCGGUGCAUUAGUUGGUUGGCGGGGUAAAGGCCCACCAAGACGAUGAUGCAUAGCCGGCCUGAGAGGGCGGACGGCCACAUUGGGACUGAGACACGGCCCAGACUCCUGCGGGAGGCAGCAGUAGGGAAUUUUCGUCAGUGGGCGCAAGCCUGAACGAGCGAUGCCGCGUGAGUGAAGAAGGCCUUCGGGUCGUAAAGCUCUGUUGCGGGGGAAAAAAGGCAGCAUCAGGAAAUGGGUGCUGACUGAUGGUGCCCCGCCAGAAAGUCACGGCUAACUACGUGCCAGCAGCCGCGGUAAUACGUAGGUGGCGAGCGUUAUCCGGAAUGAUUGGGCGUAAAGGGUGCGCAGGCGGUCCUGCAAGUCUGGAGUGAAACGCAUGAGCUCAACUCAUGCAUGGCUUUGGAAACUGGAGGACUGGAGAGCAGGAGAGGGCGGUGGAACUCCAUGUGUAGCGGUAAAAUGCGUAGAUAUCAGGAGGAGCACCGGCGGCGAAGGCGGCCUGCUGGACCGCGACUGACGUUGAGGCUCGAAAGCGUGGGGAGCGAACAGGAUUAGAUACCCUGGUAGUCCACGCCGUAAACGAUGACUACUAGGUGUCGGGGGACGACAGUGUCCCGGUGCCGGCGCAAACGUAAUAAGUAGUCCACCUGGGGAGUACGUCCGCAAGGAUGAAACUCAAAGGAAUUGACGGGGACCCGCACAAGCGGUGGAGCAUGUGGUUUAAUUCGAAGCGACGCGAAGAACCUUACCCGGCCUUGACAUCCCCACGGAUGCAGGGCAAUGCCUGCAGCCCCUCGGGGCGUGGGAGACAGGUGGUGCAUGGUUGUCGUCAGCUCGUGUCGUGAGAUGUUGGGUCAAGUCCCGCAACGAGCGCAACCCCUGCCCCUAGUAGCCAGCACGCGAUGGUGGGCACUCUAGGGGGACUGCCGGGGACAACCCGGAGGAAGGCGGGGACGACGUCAAAUCAUCAUGCCCCUUAUGGCCGGGGCUACACACGUGCUACAAUGGCGCGCACAGAGGGAUGCGAGCGGGCGACCGUGAGCGAAGCCCGGAAAGCGCGCCCCAGUUCGGAUUGCAGCCUGCAACUCGGCUGCAUGAAGCCGGAAUCGCUAGUAAUCGCGGAUCAGAACGCCGCGGUGAAUACGUUCCCGGGUCUUGCACUCACCGCCCGUCA
This 1399-nucleotide ribosomal RNA is filed under the name uncultured bacterium. RNAcentral's name for it is "bacterial SSU rRNA". It matches the Rfam family "Bacterial small subunit ribosomal RNA". The record is from RNAcentral.